AGAGUUGAUCCUGGCUCAGGAUGAACGCUAGCGACAGGCUAACACAUGCAAGGUCGAGGGGCAUCGACGGGAGUAGCAAUACAACUGGUGGCGACCGGCGCGACGGGUGAGUAACGCGUAUGCAACCUACCUAUCAGGAGGGGAAUAACCGGCGAAAGUCGGACUAAUACCGCAUAAAACAGGGGCACCGCAUGGUGAUAUUUGUUAAAGAAAUUCGCUGAUAGAUGGGCAUGCGUUCCAUUAGGUAGUUGGUGAGGUAACGGCUCACCAAGCCGACGAUGGAUAGGGAACUGAGAGGUUGGUCCCCCACACUGGUACUGAGACACGGACCAGACUCCUACGGGAGGCAGCAGUGAGGAAUAUUGGUCAAUGGGCGGGAGCCUGAACCAGCCAAGUCGCGUGAAGGAAGAAGGAUCUAUGGUUCGUAAACUUCUUUUGCAGGGGAAUAAGGUGCAGGACGUGUCCUGUUUUGUAUGUACCCUGAGAAUAAGGAUCGGCUAACUCCGUGCCAGCAGCGGC
Molecule: ribosomal RNA, 519 nt
Filed under: uncultured bacterium
Lineage: Bacteria
Description: bacterial SSU rRNA
Rfam family: Bacterial small subunit ribosomal RNA
Source: RNAcentral